UCUUCGGCAAUGGACGAAAGUCUGACCGAGCAACGCCGCGUGAGCGAAGAAGGCCUUCGGGUCGUAAAGCUCUGUUGUUAGAGAAGAACAUGGGUGAGAGUAACUGUUCACCCCUUGACGGUAUCUAACCAGAAAGCCACGGCUAACUACGUGCCAGCAGCCGCGGUAAUACGUAGGUGGCAAGCGUUGUCCGGAAUUAUUGGGCGUAAAGCGCGCGCAGGCGGUCUCUUAAGUCUGAUGUGAAAGCCCCCGGCUCAACCGGGGAGGGUCAUUGGAAACUGGGAGACUUGAGGACAGAAGAGGAGAGUGGAAUUCCAAGUGUAGCGGUGAAAUGCGUAGAUAUAUGGAGGAACACCAGUGGCGAAGGCGGCUCUCUGGUCUGUUACUGACGCUGAGGCGCGAAAGCGUGGGGAGCAAACAGG
Molecule: ribosomal RNA, 422 nt
Filed under: uncultured bacterium
Lineage: Bacteria
Description: bacterial SSU rRNA
Rfam family: Bacterial small subunit ribosomal RNA
Source: RNAcentral